UGCCAGCAGCCGCGGUAAUACGUAAGUCGCAAGCGUUAUCCGGAAUUAUUGGGCGUAAAGCGUCCGUAGGCGGUUUUAUAAGUCUGUAGUUAAAUCCCAGGGCUCAACCCUGGAAUCGUUAUGGAAACUAUAAAACUUGAGGUAUGCAGGGGUAGAUGGAAUUCCAGAAGUAGGGGUAAAAUCCGUAGAUCUCUGGAGGAACACCAAACUCGAAGGCAUUCUACUGUGCAUUACCUGACGCUAAGUGACUAACGUGUGGGGCGAAAACGGUCUUCGAUA
RNAcentral lists this ribosomal RNA (279 nucleotides) under uncultured bacterium. RNAcentral describes it as "partial 16S ribosomal RNA". It matches the Rfam family "Bacterial small subunit ribosomal RNA", at positions 506 to 784 of the family's 1533-position model. The record is from RNAcentral.